UUUUUAAACCUCGGCAUUUAGAGGAAGGUGAAGUCGUAACAAGGUUUCCGUAGGUGAACCUGCGGAAGGAUCAUUA
This 76-nucleotide ribosomal RNA is filed under the name Peronospora calotheca. Its description in RNAcentral is "partial 18S ribosomal RNA". It matches the Rfam family "Eukaryotic small subunit ribosomal RNA", at positions 1756 to 1831 of the family's 1831-position model. The record is from RNAcentral. RNAcentral also lists the same sequence under 2 other names. Lineage: Eukaryota; Oomycota; Peronosporomycetes; Peronosporales; Peronosporaceae.